This 464-nucleotide ribosomal RNA is filed under the name uncultured bacterium. RNAcentral's name for it is "partial 16S ribosomal RNA". It matches the Rfam family "Bacterial small subunit ribosomal RNA", at positions 29 to 507 of the family's 1533-position model. The record is from RNAcentral.
ACGAACGCUGGCGGCGUGCUUAACACAUGCAAGUCGAACGGAAAGGCCCUGCUUGCAGGGUACUCGAGUGGCGAACGGGUGAGUAACACGUGGGUGAUCUGCCCUGCACUUCGGGAUAAGCCUGGGAAACUGGGUCUAAUACCGGAUAGGAGCCAUUUUUAGUGUGAUGGUUGGAAAGUUUUUUCGGUGUAGGAUGAGCUCGCGGCCUAUCAGCUUGUUGGUGGGGUAAUGGCCUACCAAGGCGGCGACGGGUAGCCGGCCUGAGAGGGUGGACGGCCACAUUGGGACUGAGAUACGGCCCAGACGCCUACGGGAGGCAGCAGGGGGGAAUAUUGCACAAUGGGCGCAAGCCUGAUGCAGCGACGCCGCGUGGGGGAUGACGGCCUUCGGGUUGUAAACUCCUUUCGCUAGGGACGAAGCUUUUUGUGACGGUACCUAGAUAAGAAGCACCGGCUAACUACGUG